GGGCUGCACCCAUGGCAUAUGGAAGUUCCCAGGCUGGGGGGUCAAAUCAGAGCUGCAGCUGCCAGCCUACACCAGAGCCACAGCAACUGGGGAUCCGAGCCACAUCUGCAACCAACCCCACAGCUGGCAGCAACGCUGGAGCCUUAACUCACUGAACAAGUCCAGGGAUCGAACCCACAUCCUCAUGAAUGCUGGUCAGGUCUGUUGCCACUAAGCCAUGAUGGGAACUCCCUUCUUUCACUUUCACAGCAAUCUCAGGGGAUAGGUACUAUGCCUGUUGCCAUUUUACAGAUGUGGAAACCGAAGCAUAAGGAGGCAAAUUAACUUGUCCAGGCAGUCUAUCCCCUGGAGCCAAAAUACACAGAAAAAAAUUUCAAGUUGUUUUUUAGUGUGAUAAAAUAUAUGUAACAUAAGAUGUACACGCUUAACUGUUUAUAAGUGUACAAUUCCGUACCCUUAAAGUUGUGCAACCACCACUAUUUCCAAACGUUUUCCUCACCCCAGAAGGAAAUUCUACAGCCGUCAAGCAGUACUUCUCCAUUCCACCCCCCUCAGCUGCUCAUGACCUCGAAUCUACUUUCUGUCUCUAUGAAUUUGCCUGUUUUAGAUGUUUCAGAUGAGUGGAAUCAUACAAAUUUGUCUUUUUUUCCGCAUCUGGCUUAUUUCCCUUUGCAUACAGUUUGCGAGCUUCAUCCCUGUGGCAGCUUGUAUAGUAGGACCUCCUGAUCCAAGCCCCUCGGGGACGCCCGAAACCGUAGCGAGUACUGAGCACCAUAUAUACGUGUUUCCCCUGUACAGGCAUACCUAUGUUCAAUUCACUAAUUAUGCACAGUAAGAGAUCAACAACAAUUAAAUAAAAUAAUUACAACAAUGUACUGUAAUAGGAGUUCCCGUUGUGGUGCAGUGGAAACGAAUCCAAAUAGUAUCCAUGAGGUUGAGGGUUCGAUCCCUGGCCUUGCUCAGUGGGUUAAGGAUUCAGCGUUGCCAGGAGCUGUGGUGUAAGUGGCAGAUGUGGCCUGGAUCCCAUGUUGCUGUGGCCGUGGUGUAGGCUAGCAGCUACAGCUCCAAUUCAACCCCUACGCUGGGAACUUCCAUAUGCUGUGGGUUUGGCCCUAAAAAGCAAAAAAAAAAAAAAACCAACCAACGAAAAAAACUGUCAUGACAAUUGUAUGACUGUGGUCCCUCUCAAAAUAUCUUACUGUAAUGUACUCGCCCUUCUUGUGAUGAUGCGAGAUGAUAAAAUGCCUACAUGAUGAGAUGAAGUGAGGGGAGGGAAGGAGAGGUUGCGAUGUAGCAUUAAGCUCCCAUUGACCGGAGCUCCGGUAGUGGCUCAGCAGUUAGCAAACCCGAUUAGCAUCCCUGAAGAUGCGGGAUCCUGACCUCGCUCAGUGGGUUAAGGAUACGGUGCUGCUGGGAGCUGUGGUGUAGGUCACAGACACGGCUUGGAUCCCACAUUGCUGUGGCUGUGGCGUAGGCCGGCAGCUGUAGCUCCAAAUCGACCCGUAGCCUGGGAAGCUCCAUGUGCUGUGGGUGACCUUAUGUCAGGAGAAUCAUCUCCUUAGGGUGAUCCUGGAAGAUGGAGCCGCGCUGUUGGUGGGCGAAUGUCAGAGGCAGACGAUGCCGAUGCUUGGGGAACUUGGGCAGAACAGCUCGGGAUUCCAUCACGCCACCCAGAAUGGCCAAAACGUAAGGCCUGUGAAUUGCCGACUUGAUACUUGGGAUCACACUUGACCGUGGGUAACUGAAACCUUGGAAGGUGAAAGCAGGGAUAAGGGCAGACGGCUUUAUCAGAACUUCCUUCAUUUUCACGGCCGAAUGACAUUGCAUUGUAUGGAUGGACUCUGUUUGUCGAGCCGGACAUCUCAGCUGUCUCCAUCUUUUGUCUCCUGUGAGUAACGCUGCUGUGGACAGUGGCACACAGUACCUCCGACCACAUUCGGGUAUAUAUCUAGGAGCAGAACUGCUUGGUCAUGCGGUAGUUCUGUUUAACUUUUUGAGGACCCACCAGACUGUUUUUUACAGCAGCUGCCUCAUUUUUCAUCCCACUGGCAAAAUGCACGGGGUCCAAUUUCUUCAUACCCUCACCAUCACUUGUUCUUGGCCUUUCAAAACCAUCAUAGCCAUCCUAGUGUGUGUGAAGUGUAUCUCCUGUGGGUUUUGCAUUUCCCUGUUGACUUAAGGACAUGGAGAAUCUUCCCAUCUUGUUCGUGGAGUUCCCAUCAUGGCGCAGCAGAAACGAAUCUGUCUAGGAACCAGGAGGUUGCAGGUUCGAUCCCUGGCCUCACUCAGUGGGUUAAGGAUCCGGCAUUGCAGUGAGCUCUGGUGUAGGUCGAAGACACAGCUCGAAUCUGGCUUUGCUGUGGCUGUGGCUUAGGUUGGCGGCUGUAGCUCUGAUUUGAUCCUCAGCCUGGGAACCUCCAUAUGCUGCAGGUGCAGCUCUAAAAAGAAAAAAAAAAAAGUGUUUUCUUCUAAGAGUGUUAUGCUUUUAGCUCUUAUAUUUAGGUUGUUAAUCCAUUUUGAGCUAACACUUGUGUGUGGUGUGAGGUAGGGCUCCAACUCUAUCCUAUGAAACAGGCAAAUUCAUAGAGACGGAUAAGUGGUUGGCAGAUAAGUAGGCCUGGGAUGGGGAGGGGGGAUUGGGCAUGAUUGCUUAUGGGGACGAAGUUUCUUUUUGGGGUGAUGACAAUAUUCUAAAUUUGGAUAGUGGUGACGGUUGCAUAAUUCAGUGAAUACAUUAACAACCACUGAAUUGUACACUUUAAAAGGGUGAAUUUUAUGCUAUGUGAAUUAUACCUCAAUAAAGCUGUUAUUAAAACAAACAAAAAGAACAGCUGGUGGCCCGUAGGAGGGGGACAGGCCUGGCAGCCCCGCCUCCUGCUUCUAGAAGAGCAAACAUGCUGCCCUCCUGUGGCCUCUGGUGGCCGCCAGCCAGACUUCUGCCCUGCCAGGGCUGUUUUAAAUCAAAUACCCAGGAGUCUCUCUCAAGAGUCACAUUUGAGGUAAUAAAGGGUCCACUCUCAUCGGCUUUUCUCCACUUUGGUCCCAACCCCAAAUGCAGCUGUUGUGGGCUUCUCAUCCCUUUUAUCAGCCACGAGAUGGAAAGAGGCCACAGACGGCAGAUCCGGUGCACAUCUCUCUCCCUGGAGUAGACGAAGCACAGAAGGAAAAGCAGGACGCUGAUGGUCCCAGUGGACCCCAGGGUGAGGCCAAGACCCAGCCCUGCCCCAAGUCCCCCCUGUGGAGGGAAAGGCUGGGCCUCCGCCUUGUCCCCUGCCAUGACCUCAGGGACAGUUGUGUGAGGGUCCUCCUGCCACCGGGCCAGCCUGGGGCUGGGUGUGGGCUCUUUGCUGACCAGCCCAGCUUGGGUUCCAACUGGGAUUUGAGCAUUUAAGCCCAGAUUGCACUAGCCAGUUGCACGAGGCCUUUUUGUGGAAGCUUUUGUGGUGGCGGGGAUGGGAAAUUCUCGGACAUGAAGGGCCACCAUCCUGCAGUGGAAGGGAUGGGGCGUCAGCAUCCUCCCACAGCACAGCUGGCAGCGGCCCUGGAGAGGCUUCUCUGGCACAGCCUUCCUGGGCAGAGGCUGCUGACAACCAGGGCCGAAGAGAGCGGUGGGCACCGGGUGGGGACUGUGGCUGGCAGACUGUGCAGGUCCCGGGGGGACACCGUCAGCCGCUUCAGUACAACUGAAGCUCCAGGCUGGGAGCAGAGCGCCGAAGCCAGUCUGGUUGGUGCCAGUGCUGUUUGGAGCCCAGGGGGCCUCCGUCUGGGCAGCUCCGGCUGCCGCCACCAGGCCUCUGGGGCCCCAAGCCGUCUCUGCCUUCCUGCUUCCCACCAGGGCAGAGACCUGGGUGCGAAGCAGGCUCCAGGAGGUGGUCGUACAACCUCCCUGUGAGGUCUGCCUGGCCAGGAAGGAGAAGGGCUGGAGGGUGAGCUCCCAGGAAGGCUCGGCCCCCCUGUCCUGGCCCCAGAGGCCGAGGGGCCUGGCUGGCCCCGUCCCCCUGUCUCAGGCACCUGCAGCCCUUCACCGGGAUUCACAACCACCUGGCUGCCAUAGACCGGCCUUGACAUUUUAAUUACAGUCAUUAAGAUGCCUCCUUUUGCUGUGGCCACGUCAGCAGUUCCAGGCCCUUCUGUGUGGAGCAUCUCAGCCUCGUCCCUUCUACCUGGCGGCUAACCCCUCCCCUGCCCUCCAGGGCGCUCCGUCCCACCUCCCCAGCUGGAUGGGCUGGGUUGCAGGCAGCACCUCGUGCUCCCUCCCUGCUCCCCCGACCCUGACCGUCUCAAGGAGGGUCAGACCCUGCGCGGAGACCACGGCGCCAGGUUGGGGCGGGAGCGCUUUCCCGUGGAAGGUUCCCUCACUGGUGUCCAGGCCACCUGUCUGCCUUGUCUCUCUGGUCUUGGGACCUCUGCUUGGGACACAUGGCCCCCAAAGGGGCUCACUGCGGUGUCCCCCUGUCCCCAGCCCCUCCCCAGUGGGAGGACCCAGGUCCCAUGGGCUCCCCCUGAGCAGACUCGCAGUGAAGUGGGGACAUCUACCACGGGUCCACUGCCCCGCGACAGCUGGGGUGGGACAUGCACCCUGUCUGUCCCCUCGCAAGGCUAUGAGCAAAGCGCCUGUCUCCUUGUGCCUCCUCCAAGACCUGAGCCUGGGUUUGAGAGUCUAAUUCCCAGUAAAAGCUGUUCUGCCAAACUUAGCACAAAAUGGCAAUUCUGGGCUUGAACUCUACCUAGCAACAAGAUUAGCAGCUGAUUUUGCAAGCUGGUAUUUUUAUCCCUGGGACUGGAAGCGCUGAGAAAAGUGGCCACCUCCUGCAGCACCUGGGGACCCUCCCCCCCAGGCGCUCCUCCUGGCCCCAUGCCCAGCUCUGGCAAGUGAGAAGGGGGGCCAUGAGAGCCUCCAGAGAGGAGUGUCGGCCCGGGUCCAUGAGGAAGCACCGGCUGGAUGCCGAGGCCUGGCCUCCUCUCCCUCUCUCCGCCUCC
Molecule: long non-coding RNA, 4980 nt
Filed under: Sus scrofa (pig)
Lineage: Eukaryota; Metazoa; Chordata; Mammalia; Artiodactyla; Suidae
Description: lncRNA (ENSSSCG00005020812.1)
Source: RNAcentral